UAUGUUAAUGAGGAGUGUUUGACUUCGUUACAGAGAAUGACCCGACUCUCUAGCUGACCUUGACCCAAUGACUGAGUCUAAAGUUAUGGAUUCGAACAUGGUGGCCAUGCGGUUCUUCUUAGAGGGUCAUGCGCUGCUUUUUAGCAUUUUAUGAUUCCUUUUUUCUCCAGUUAAUCUUUGUUCUUGAUACAUGCGUUAUCGACUUCAGAUUAGGGAUCACUGUUCUUCAGCGUUUGCCACAAUUACAUUUUUCAUUACCUAAUUAUCAUUUUUUCUCAAUACUGUAUUUACAUAUUUCGUUCUCCAGCCUGUAUCACUAUAUUUGAUGGAGAAAAAAAGCUUAUUUUCCACAAGGGAUUAAAAAAACAAUAUGAGAACGACCUUCGAAGAGGAUCGCCUGCGGUUUGGCAACUCGACUGAGCAUUACAUACAUUUCCUUGGGUUUCGUUCGGCUGAGUAUAUAAAUGUAAACACACGCAGAAAGCAAAUCUGAUCUCAACAUGAAGCCGCUGUCGAUAGCAUUGGCCCUGAUCGUGGCCCUGACAGGACUCGUGGGCUGGACCAGCGCCAUGCCUAACCCUGACCCGGUGGCUGACCUUGACCCGGGACUCUAUGCCGCUGUCUGAAUCACUGGCCCUGAUUGUGGCUCUGGUAAUACUCGGGUGCUGGACCAGAACAAUGCCCGACCCUUACCCGGUGGCUGACCCGUCAGGAUUCUAUGGCGAGGGUCACGGUGGGCAUUGAUGCAGCAGAGGUUUCGGUUCCUUCGGCAGGGGUGGUCACGGUUUCAGCAGGGGUUUCGGUUCCUUUGGUGGGGGAGGGGUGGGGUGCAAGGGCAGGGGUAGUUACUGGUAAAAAGUCUGUU
Penaeus chinensis is the source of this 865-nucleotide long non-coding RNA. RefSeq lists it as uncharacterized. The record is from RefSeq and is a predicted model, not a curated record. Lineage: Eukaryota; Metazoa; Arthropoda; Malacostraca; Decapoda; Penaeidae. The transcript has 3 exons.